This 226-nucleotide long non-coding RNA is filed under the name Homo sapiens (human). Its description in RNAcentral is "HSALNT0004439". Lineage: Eukaryota; Metazoa; Chordata; Mammalia; Primates; Hominidae. The record is from RNAcentral.
GUGGCAGAAUAUUAACUACUAUUUUCUGGGCAAAAGGAAGCGACAUCUAGUUCCCUUGCGCCCGUGAGAGCCGGGACUUGGGGAGACAGGCUUCAGGCUCUAUCACAUGAUGAUCCUGGGGCCGACUUGUGCCAAGGCUGGGCUGGGAGGGAAGAUGGCCUGGACGCACAGCGUAAUCCUGAGUCCCCUCUCUGUGGAUGACGAUGAGUUACCUUUGCCCUCCCUC